Spinacia oleracea (spinach) is the source of this 2769-nucleotide RNA transcript. It is a transcript of the gene named zinc finger BED domain-containing protein DAYSLEEPER-like, with no coding region annotated. The record is from RefSeq and is a predicted model, not a curated record. Lineage: Eukaryota; Viridiplantae; Streptophyta; Magnoliopsida; Caryophyllales; Amaranthaceae. The transcript has 5 exons.
UUUCUAAAAAUAUUUCUCAAAAUCUUUUCAUUUCCCGCUUCUCCUCCUUACCCUUCUCUGGUUCCCACUUCUCUCUCCUUCCCCUCUCUGGUUCUCUAAUUCUCUGCUCAUUCCCCUUCUCUAGUUUCUAACAAGCCGUUGAUGUUCCCCCUACCACCGACGUUGUUCCCUUACCGUCGACGCUUCCUCUUCCAGCCGUGGGUUAAAAACCCUAAUUUGUAAUUGUAACCUGCUUGUUGAUGUUAAUUGAGGUUGUUUUGAGCAGUUGAGCUUCAUGAUUCAACCUCUAGAGAAGAGAAAUCUGAAGAUUUUGUAUUGUUUCCCCAUCAACCUUCAACAUCGAACUCGUAAGGAGAGGCGGUAUCUUGCUUGGAGCAGGCUGUAAAUAGCUUCCUUGAAAUGGAAAACUCAAUAUGUGUGCUAGAUUCUAUAAGGUAAACUAAAUGGUUGAAAGUUGGUUUUGCUCUAUUUGGUUGAUACACGAGUUAAUUUCUUUCUAAUAUCUCUAUAAUAUCACCUUUUAACUUUAUUUUUAAUUAGGUCGAUUUUGAUGAUGAUUAGAAACUCUUUCGUUUAUAAUUAUGCACAUUACGCCUGAUCAAUUGCACAUGGGUCAUUAUAUCCUUUAUAUGAAAGGGAUAAUGACAAUUUAUUUGCUCAUUAUCACUAAUGAUUCAUCUCAUUUGCAUAGGAAAUCGUUGUAAUAUAUGAGACUGAUAAAAAUUUGGAGCAGGAUAUUGCUUGGUAUGAGAAAGUUGCAUAUCUUUUAAAAAGUGAAGAGGUGACAACCUCUGAAAAUUAGAACAGACAGAAAGUUGCACAAUAUUUUGCUUGGUAAGUGUAAAUUAUGUUUUCCUUGGUAAAUUGGUGACGCAAUAUGCCAAUAGCAGGUUGUUAGGCUUCUUUAAAGUUCAGUUGAAUGGUUACUAUUAGCCCCAAAUCUAUCUCUAACUAUACAUUUCUAGUCUCCCAGAAAGUAUAAUUAGGGAUAUAAUUUCUAAUUAGCAUGCAGAUGUCGAGAGUGAGCAGAUCAAAGAUAGUGGGAUGCCUUGGUUGUGGUUCAUUCAUACAAUCCCAGACGUAAAGUUCCGCAUAGCAGUAUCUCAAUAAGUGAUUUGAACCUUUGCUUAUCCAAAGCAUUGCUGCUGCUCAAAAUUACUCUGGUAAUAUAUUUCAACCUGUGAGAGCUAUUCGGGAUUGCCGGAUCAGCAGUAUAGUAGCACUUUUCGGAAUUAGAAACCACAUUCGUUUUUGAUGUUAUUAAUCUUAUUAUUAGUAAUAUAUGACCAUUUUAUGAUGGCUAUGAUAUGAUCUUGAGAUUAAAAUAUAUGCACCCCCGUCUUAGUGCGUUGGCUAUCACGUUUACUGUCAACACUCUAGAUCUUUGUCGCAGUGAAAUCAACAUUGUAAUCUAUCCUACUUUACUGUCGUGCUAAUAUCACUGACUCACCACCACUAGUUGAAUGGCACCGCGACUUUGUUACUUCAGUUACUCAAAACCAGCUGAAUGUUGUGUUAAUUAUCUUUGGAUGAGAUGAAACCUUUUAGUAUUCGUUAUCUGGAGUCCUAGAGCUCACUUGUAACCAGUAAGCAACUAGUUUAUUUGUUCUAAUCUUCUGAUCAUAUCUAUAACUUUUCCCCUUCCAUCGUUCUGGUUCAUAGUGUUUGUCAUUUGUGAUUAAUUGUUCUCCUGUCAGGAACUUUCUUUUUUUUAAUUAAAUUUAUUCCGUUGAUGAGCGUCGGCAAAGCCUCAUUUAUGCACUUAGUUAACUAGUUUAGUAUGUCUGCUAGCCUGAGGUUCUGAGUGCACUUGAAGUCCUGAUUAUUUUCUGUGAUAAUCUGUGACUAACUACGAAUACUUCUGUAAACUUCUUGAGCAGCCUCAAUCCAAAUGCCACGUGUCGGGUAUCAAGAUGGAUCAGUCGAUCAGAUCGAGCAAUUUGGUAUUCUAUUGAGCGUCUUUUGCGAAAAUAUUCCUCGAUAUAUGGCAUUAAGAUUUACGUGAAGCCUUCACGGUAUGAAAUGUAUUUGCAGUCAAUGCCUGAAUGUAGUAUUUCCAGUCAGUGCAACAUUAGAAUGAUGAAUCUCAAUGGUCAGAUUUGGAUUUGUAUCUUGAAGAGCCAGUCUUACCACAGAUGUAUAACUUCAUCGUGUUGCACUGGUGGAAAGAAAACGGGUUCAAGUAUCCUCAGCUUUCUUGGAUGGCUUGCAACUUCCUGGCCAUUCCUCUGUCUGUUGUGACUCAUUCUGAUGCAUACUACACUGAGCGAAGGGAAGCUAAUUGGAGAUUGUUGUCUUUCAAACCUGAACUGAUAAAUGCCUUGAAGUGCACUAGGAGCUGGAAAUUUGGUUAUGUAAGAAGUAAUAUAAGCUGCUCCGAGGCUCAAUUGAACUUUUAUGAGACCGUUAUGAGAUCAUGAGUAGAGCUAGGACUUGGAGUUUUGAAGCAUAGUAUGCUGUAUUAUCAUGGUUAUUGUGGGAGAGUGCAGGUAGAGAAUUAUCAGAGUCUUCUGGUUUAUGGAACUUUUAAGUUAUUUUCUUGACAAUGUGAACUAUAGGUGGAAGUAAGGACUUUUGUUGAUUUUCUUUUUAAUUGGUAGGAAAUCAACUACUUGUAUCUAUUUAGCUGAUAUUUUUUGCAUCGGCAUUGUUGAGAAUGAUAUGGCUUGCCAAUGUUAGUUGACAUUGAAGCUUAUUUUUGGUAUAAUUGUAAUGUAAUCGACUUUUAUAUUUACAAUUAUAUACUAUUCAAUUUAAUUAUAUAUAUAA